This 226-nucleotide long non-coding RNA is filed under the name Elaeis guineensis (African oil palm). RNAcentral describes it as "long non-coding RNA (EGUI_LNC069483)". Lineage: Eukaryota; Viridiplantae; Streptophyta; Magnoliopsida; Arecales; Arecaceae. The record is from RNAcentral.
GUCCGAGAGGUGCAGGAGGGUAGCAAAGGCGAUGGAGGUCGACCUGAAGGGCGCCUAAGACCGAGAGGGAUGUCGGAGGAGGACGAAGCUCUCAGGAAAGAAGAGGAGACCGAAGAAAAAUCUCAAGCAAGGUGAAACCCCUGAUGGAGGGGGACGGGUUUAAAUAGACCUUAGGAUCCGGCGCAAUAAUGAUUGCAGAUCUCCUUUGGCCGACCUACAACUGCCG